CCCAUAAUCCAAAAUAACCGCACAUGCUCAGUGUCAAUUGUUUGUAUUGGAGUUUGACAUCGGGGCUUUUCUAUGACCAGAAUGGGAUGAGAGUAGCAAACGUUUCUAUUUUAUGCUUUUUACCCUCACAACCUAGCAGUAUUUCCAAGAAAUGAUAGAUGCUGUUUCCCCUGGCAUGCAUUGGAUUAGUUUUCUGUACAGUGAGAAAUGUCUUCGAUGGAAGUCUGCAUUUUCAAAUUCAAAGCCCAUCAUUUUUAUUCCUGGAAAUGACUGGAUUGCUCCCUGCAGCAUAAUACUUCCUGAGGAAUAAAAAGAAGUGUGGAAAUACCUGCAAAACCUGCACAAGUACAGCAUGAUAACACUUUCUUGCCUCAGGAGAUGGUGAUUUAUAUAUUCCAUAAUGUGGUAUUCAAGAAACUGUCAUGUAGCCUCCAAACCAAGUAAAAAUUAAAACAUAUUGAGUAUAACAUUAAUUUAAGCUAUUAAAGUUGCUUCUCGGUGAUUUCCAAGCUCAGUACUUCCUGGAGAUGCAGAUCUCUUAGCGCUGACAUCAUCAAUAGGCGUCGCGUUGCCGAAAAUGCGAAGCAAAGAAGUUAAUGGUGUUUUCAGGUUGAAUGGAUGAUAAUGAAGCAGUGGAAGCUCGUGGAUAGCCUGCACAAGAUGUUUUCCAAGUGGAAUUAGAAGCCUUUCUUUUAAGAGAAGGACUUGCCCAUUCCAUUUCUUCUAUUUUCUCCAGCAGUUUAUCAGCUUUAACAAAUGUGAGUGCAGAAUCCAAGUCCUCAAAUAUCUUUGGUCCUUCAGGAAGGAAAAUCCUUAAUCUUGCAGGGAACAAAAGGUGUCAGGACCAAUGAAUCAGAGCAGAUGGUCUUCCUACCCCAGCACAGGAGAACCUAGGCUGGCUGAUCACAUCACUCUACCUCAUUGGCUGCUUUAGCAUCACCCUUCCUCUCUGGGUACUCAAAACUCGAAUUGCUACUCAACCACAAGUCAUUUUGGUGAAAGGCUUUAUCGUUUUGAGCCAUGGAGCUGACAAAUAUGUUAACCUUUCUCACUUUUGACUACCUUAUUAAAGGAUAUGGAAAAGCUGGAAUCAACAACCUCCUAGCACAAGAAAUCUGGACAAAGUGAAAAAUAAGUUUGGAACAAAGACCCUAAAAUAGGGACACAUUUU
This is a long non-coding RNA of Protopterus annectens (West African lungfish), 1171 nucleotides long. RefSeq lists it as uncharacterized. The transcript is spliced from 6 exons. The record is from RefSeq and is a predicted model, not a curated record. Lineage: Eukaryota; Metazoa; Chordata; Ceratodontiformes; Protopteridae.